RNAcentral lists this ribosomal RNA (466 nucleotides) under uncultured bacterium. RNAcentral describes it as "partial 16S ribosomal RNA". It matches the Rfam family "Bacterial small subunit ribosomal RNA", at positions 29 to 506 of the family's 1533-position model. The record is from RNAcentral.
ACGAACGCUGGCGGCGUGCUUAACACAUGCAAGUCGAACGGAAAGGCCCUGCUUUUGUGGGGUGCUCGAGUGGCGAACGGGUGAGUAACACGUGAGUAACCUGCCCUUGACUUUGGGAUAACUUCAGGAAACUGGGGCUAAUACCGGAUAGGAGCUCCUGCUGCAUGGUGGGGGUUGGAAAGUUUCGGCGGUUGGGGAUGGACUCGCGGCUUAUCAGCUUGUUGGUGGGGUAGUGGCUUACCAAGGCUUUGACGGGUAGCCGGCCUGAGAGGGUGGCCGGCCACAUUGGGACUGAGAUACGGCCCAGACUCCUACGGGAGGCAGCAGUGGGGAAUAUUGCACAAUGGGCGGAAGCCUGAUGCAGCAACGCCGCGUGCGGGAUGACGGCCUUCGGGUUGUAAACCGCUUUCGCCUGUGACGAAGCGUGAGUGACGGUAAUGGGUAAAGAAGCACCGGCUAACUACGU